UACGUAGGGUGCGAGCGUUACUCGGAAUUACUGGGCGUAAAGCGUGCGCAGGCGGUUUGCUAAGUCCGCUGUGAAAUCCCCGGGCUCAACCUGGGAAUGGCGGUGGAAACUGGCGAGCUAGAGUGUGGCAGAGGGGGGUGGAAUUCCACGUGUAGCAGUGAAAUGCGUAGAGAUGUGGAGGAACACCAAUGGCGAAGGCAGCCCCCUGGGUUGACACUGACGCUCAGGCACGAAAGCGUGGGGAGCAAACAGG
RNAcentral lists this ribosomal RNA (253 nucleotides) under uncultured bacterium. RNAcentral describes it as "partial 16S ribosomal RNA". It matches the Rfam family "Bacterial small subunit ribosomal RNA", at positions 524 to 776 of the family's 1533-position model. The record is from RNAcentral.